UACGGAGGAGGCAAGCGUUAUCCGGAAUUAUUGGGCGUAAAGCGUCCGUAGGUGGCUCUUCAAGUCUGCUGUCAAAGAGUGGGGCUUAACCUUGCCAAGGCAGUGGAAACUGAAAGGCUAGAGAGCCGUAGGGGUAGAGGGAAUUCCGGUGUGAGCGGUGAAAUGCGUAGAGAUCGGGAAGAACAUCGGUGGCGAAAGCGCUCUACUGGACGGUAUCUGACACUGAGGGACGAAAGCUA
RNAcentral lists this ribosomal RNA (239 nucleotides) under uncultured bacterium. RNAcentral's name for it is "partial 16S ribosomal RNA". It matches the Rfam family "Bacterial small subunit ribosomal RNA", at positions 524 to 762 of the family's 1533-position model. The record is from RNAcentral.